CCGUGUCUUUCAGUAGGGCGCUGUACCACUCAGAGCAAAAGAGUAACGUAUCUGCCCGGAAUCCCUGCAGGUUACAGGACACAGUGGACUUCCAGGCAAGGAAAAGAAGGAAGAAACUGCCUGGACCUGUGCUGGUGUAUGUGGGGGUGUCACUACCCCAAGACAUCUGGAGGGGUAGGGGAGGUUCCACUGUAUCUGCAAGCUGCAACCGGGCCUGCCAGCUGUAGCUGAAGACUCCACUCCCAACAUAGAAGCAACCCCACUCUACCCUGGUUGAAAAUUUG
This 284-nucleotide long non-coding RNA is filed under the name Neogale vison (American mink). Its description in RNAcentral is "Neovison vison (American mink) lncRNA (ENSNVIG00000014614.1)". Lineage: Eukaryota; Metazoa; Chordata; Mammalia; Carnivora; Mustelidae. The record is from RNAcentral.